Molecule: long non-coding RNA, 874 nt
Filed under: Gallus gallus (chicken)
Lineage: Eukaryota; Metazoa; Chordata; Aves; Galliformes; Phasianidae
Description: long non-coding RNA NONGGAT009450
Source: RNAcentral
UGACUACAGGCAUCUUGCCAUCAAUGUUCAGUCCUCUGUGUGCCACCUCGAUGGCCAGGAGGAACAUGAGAGCGCGCUGCCCCAUCCUCCAGGUGCUGCUUCUCUGACUGCUUGUUGCUGGCCAAAUUCUUCCAGUAUCUUCUGUGCCAAUUCACUGUGUGGUUCCAGAUCACGUGUCUUGUUGUUCAGAACUGGACUGUCUUACCGUUUACUUAAGUAUGGAAGUAAUCCCAAGCAAAACAAAAUAAAUGGUAAAGCAGCAUGCCAGCUGCUUUAGGAAUAUGUUGUUCUAAACUCAUGUUGGAAAAGGAAAGCCCACAGAGAGGUUUGAUGUCCAAAUCUAUCCAAGAAUUGAGCUUGCUGUGGAGCAAUGGCUUCCCAGGGCACAAGGCUGCCCACUGCCUCAUUCUUCUGCAGCAGUCAGGCGGGAGGAAUGGGAACCUGCCCAGAGCAUCAGCUGACACAUGGCCGGCAAUGGGCUGAGCCGCCGCUCCGCUCCCAGAGCCCUCUGCUUGCACCAGAAAUGAUUUCCCCUGAAAAGGUUAUGGCUUCUGCUCUAAUUUACGUGUGGAAAGGCCCGAAGAUGUGAUGUGAAGCAAUCACAUCUGCCAGAGCUUUUGAAGGCUGAAACAACAACACUUUGAUAAGAGAACAGCCGGUCUGCAUCUGCAGCAGUAUGAAGUGCAGUGCCUGAGUGAGUCCCUGCCGGACCCGCGCCGGGGGAGCAGCUGUACACAAACAGCCCCAUUUGUAAGGAAACCACCGCUGGGCCACCGUCCCAUGACAGGGCUGUAAGCACGAGGUUAUGCAAUGCUUUCUGUAAGGUGCUUUUAGUUCCUCAGCUUACCUCAGCCUACCCUUGCAUGCUCCAGAC